This 4963-nucleotide long non-coding RNA is filed under the name Taeniopygia guttata (zebra finch). RNAcentral describes it as "lncRNA (ENSTGUG00000026112.1)". The record is from RNAcentral. Lineage: Eukaryota; Metazoa; Chordata; Aves; Passeriformes; Estrildidae.
CCCUCUGUGUGUAAAUCAGAAUUCACCUAACACUCCUCUAAAUGUAGUCUAGCUCUUUGCUGUCCCUUGGAGAUUUUCUCCCAGCUCACUCUCCUGCAAGAAUAACUGUGAUACCCCAGGUGCUGCAGCCCCACUUCCAUCAACAGCCAUUUGUUUACUAGAAGAGAAGGAUGGGCUGGACCAGGACAUGGCACCAGAAGCACAUCCAGCCCUUGGACAAUGCUGCGUGCUCCCUGCUGACACAGCCAAUGAUCCAGCUCUGAGCAGAGCUCACAACUAUGCCAGAAAAAACUCAGGUUAAAACCUUGGGAACUUUCCGAGCAGAGCACCAGAACACCCAGAUGGGUUUUGCACUGAGGUAUCUAAAAGCUAAGCUCCUCUUAAGAGCUAUCUUAACAGCAGCUGCUGCCGACAGCCCUUGCCAGCCUCAGGCAAAUUGUGGAUGGCAGACUGGGGUUACCACACCCGGAGCCAUGCAGUCUGCCAGGCUUUGUGACUCCAGAGGACUUUCACCAGAAGAAGCAGAGAGCAAAGAGCCUGCCUUCCUCCAAAGAGGGUGUGCACAGGAGGAGCUGACCUCGACAGUCCCUUGGCUGGCAGUCCCUGGGCUUUUUCAGGAAGAACACAGCCCAAAGUUCAUCUUCUGCUGUUGUGGGUUUUUCCUCUCAGGGCUUUGCCGUUAGUAUUGUCUAGUAUUUCCUGCUUCCUCUCCUGGCAGCACCUCUGCUGGCUCAGACACACAGCUACAGCACUCAGUUCAUCAGCCCCUGUGUUUGCCACAUCCGUCCCCAGGGAAAUCCCUGGGCCCAAACGCAGCUGAGCUUCUAAUUGAGGUUUGCUGUGCGCCUGCCUGCUGCACUGGGCUCCCACUGUGCACACAGGAGCGCUGUGCUGGCUUUUUGUGUUUAUCCAGGAUUAUUCACACCCACCAACUUUAGGCACAAAGGUUGCAUCCCGUGCAACCUCUGUGCCUAAAGAAGUUCAGGGUGCAUUAGAAGUUCAGAGCAAACUAUGUGCUGAAACAGACAUCUCUCACUGCUCACAGGCAGCCAAGCUCUGACAGCCCCAGAGUAACUCAGUUAAGGUCGCUAGUUUGCUCAAAAUACCAUCUAAGAGUAUCACAGAGAAAUUGAUAUCCAGAUCCAGUUUUGACUUUCUCUGUAAUCCAAACAGAAAUAAAAGCAGCUCCCUGCUUUGCACAGCCCUGUCCACUCUGCUGGGUUUAGCUAUCUCUCCCAAACGGUCAACAGCUCAGUUUUUCUGCAUGGUCCCACUGUUCCGCCCUCUCCAAUUCUGCAAUAUCCCUACUUGCUGGGAAAAACUAGAGACUGCAACAUUACCAAAUGUCACAGCUGUCUGCAGGGGGAAAGUCCCUUUUUAAUUAUUAGCAUGCUGCCAGUUCAUUCCCCAUUAGGUGCUUCCACUCUGUCUGUAACCACAUAGGGGGUUGUACUGAUGGGGAGCAAUGUUAUUGCUGGAGGGAAAGUAGUAAAACAAGCUCAAGAGACCUGCCUUCUACCUCCCCAAGAUCCUUUUUUCCUACAUGAAACAAGUGUGGCAGCAAGCUUUGCUGCAUCAGGCAGUGAGCAUCAGCUUAAAGCUUUUUGAGCAACAUGCUUUAACAAAGCUUCCACAUGAAAAUCGGGAAUGACACCAGAGAAAACUUGCCUUCCAAGUGGUAGCAAAUUUCAAAUUACUUGACUUAUGUUUACCCUUAAGGCAUAACAAUAAAAGCAGUUUAAAUUGAUACAGUACAUCUCAUCCCUAAGGAUCCCCAGAAAUGCAACCAAUUGAUAAACAGCCCACAGUUCAUGCAGUGAAAUACAGACCUUCCCAGAGAUGCAAUGCAUCAGUUUAAGCCUUGCCAAAAAUAAGCUGAAGUCAAAAAAUAAAAGCAGACUAGAAGACUAGACUAAAAGCCAACCAGAACUCUAGAUCCAUUAGACUCUGGUCAGGACACUGCAGCUAAUUAUAUUUUUGUGUCUGUGGCACAUGGGUAGGACUUUAAAUGUCCUAAUUUGGACCUUGGCUUUGUGUGCCAAAAAUUACCCUGCAGACUAUUUGCUUGGAUAUCAUACCAGCUUAAAUAAGGUGCAGAAAUGCUUCCUACUGCAUCCACCAUUCUGCUCUUUGGAGUCUAUGACCAACCCAAAAUAACCUCUGAUGAAAAGAUUUGAGAAGGUAGGAAUACAGGCCACAUGGCACAUGUGACUACCUUUUGCCUUCAUCCUGGCUGACAAAAAUUGACUUUGCAUAACCUUCCUUUCUCUCUUUUGGCUGUUUUUUUUAAGCUUUCAAAUUACUUACUUAUAUUAUUAUUAGAAGGCAGGAGGGAAAUACGUUUUCCUUGUUUACCAUUGGACUAAUUGUUUGGAGCUGCCUGGUUCUUAUCUCUGUAGCAGCUGUAAAUGGGAAACGUGGAUUUUAACUGCAAAAUAUUAUCAAAAUGACAAUGUCAAGUGUCCCCUGGCUUCCCUUGCACUAGCAAAGUCCAUCGACUUUUGAAGCAACAAACCAGAGUCCUAUUCCAAGGGGUAUCUGCACGUGCACAUACAAGUACAGACACCAGGUCUACUUCACUGAUUUGUUUUGUUUUAACAUCCUGGGCCAAGAUCUUGCUGAAUGUUGUUAACUGAUAAAUUUCCUGAUACAUAUCCUGGGAGCCACAUACGGUCUUUGCGAUUAAAUGAGAGGAAACAGUUAAUGGGUAUCUGCAGCAGCAGUCACAAAAAGGAUGAAGUUGUGGGACCAACUCUGGUAAAUCAACAGCACUAGAUGGUCAUGAUUAGUGUGGCAAUCAGGAAAUUACAAUUUAAUAUGUUUGCUGGAGGAAGCAGCAAGAAUUCUUCACGUUCUUUUAAAACAGAUUAAAACCCUACAGCCCCUUCUCAGUAUUCAGACACUUGAGGCUGCUUUUCAGAGCCCUGCCAGUUGCUUUCUGCAAGGUAGAAUAAAAACAAACAUCACAUCCCUGCAGCACCACAGCCUUGCCAAUUGAGUGCUCAGGGCACCUAAAGUGGAGGGGGCUUUUGUAAAACGUAGCUCUUAGGUAUGCAGUGCAAAACCACCUCCCGUGGUUACAGUUUUUACAUUGUUAAAGUAACUUUUAGGUAGUCCUUUGGCAUUGAAGUACCUGCUGGACCAGGCAGCAGAGACUGCUAACAUAAUCCCAAAUUAGAAAUGCAGAGAAUGUUAAUCUCCUCUCAAAAUGACAAGAAAACACUUCUCUGAAAUUAACGCAGACAUAGCAGAGGUAUUAAACCAGAAUACACAAGCAGAAAAAGAAGGUUCAGGUUGGCACAGAUGCCUGCAGCGCUCAUGGAUUUUUGCUCCUUUUUCAUCAGGGUUCAUGAAAUUUUGCUUCUGUUUCAGCAGGGCCAACCCCUGUCCCUGGAUAGGUACAGCUGCUCCAUCCCCUGGGGGCCUGUCUGAGCUCCCCAGAACUGCAACACUUGGGUGAGAGGCAACACAGGAAACUAGGGUUGUGAUAGGCCCCACCCUAUAUCCAAAAAGCUGAGCUUGUUUGUUUCUCUUCUUUUUGUCUUGUGUACCAUACAGAAAAUUGCAUAGAAAAAUUGCUUGAACGUGAUGAUUUAAACAAACAAACAAACAAACAAACAAAUAAAUAAAAAGGGGAGUACUUCAACAGCACAAAGCAGCACCGAUGACCUUUACCACUCCAAGACCUUUGCUUUAUGCUGUCUUCUCUUAUGUCAUCCCUUCAGGCAAGUAUUGUACGACUGUGGAACUCCUUCGAGGAGUUACAGGGAAGACAACAGCCUUUUUUGCUUAAUUGAUAAUGAGGGCUCCACUGGCCCCUGCAUCUGCAGCUAGCUGCUGCUUUGCAUAUGGGUUUAGGGCAAAAUCCCUUCUCCAGCCGUGCUUUUAGUUGCCUAAUACCCAGGUUACUGGCCCAUGUGUUGGCCUCCCCAUGAUGUCUAGGGCCAGGCUGCAGAGCAGCAGCAUCUCCCUGAAGCAGGAAGUGGGCUGGCCUCAGCGUGACUUUCCAUCCAGAAAACAUUUUCCAUCAGCUUUCUGCCACCUACAACUGGCUGCAGUACUGCCAAGUUAAAACACACACAAAAUAAAAGCAUCUCGUGUGACUCUGAAAAGAGGCUGCUUGCAAAUGCUUGCUAAAAAUAGUCCUGUGAUGGCCUGUGAGGGCAGCUGGAGGUCUCUUAUAGAAGGAGGCAAAGAAUUCCCUUUGCUGAAGUUAGUUUACAGCCAUCACAGCUAGGACAGGAGUUUUCAAGUUUAAUGUCUGUGUAGUUCUAGCAAAAUCCCAACUGCAGAGAGCAAGGUCCUUGCUGGGCUCAAUUCCCCUCCUAGUCAGAACAGUCAGCUUUCUUUUCAACUCCCUUCUUCCUUUUUUGAAGAGAUGCGGAUAGGACGAGAUUCAUUUGUUAAUUAAAUUUCCCCUGCCAAUUUACAUUAGAAAGGGGGAACUGUUUCAAAAACCUCGUGAAACUUUCAUAACCUUUAAAAAUAAAGAGUUAUACAACUUUUUUUCUAAACCUGCCCAAAAGCACCACUGGAUUGUCCCAGGCCAAGUGAUGAAUACUGAAAAGAAGUCCUGGAAUGGCACAGCUGGGCUGAAAAUUAGAAACAUUUGCUCACAGAAAGACAGGCAUUCUUCCUCUCUUCUGCAUCUUUCAUUUUCUUUGGAUUUUCCCCUAAGUUCUAAGUUCAAAGGGAUGCCAUCCCAUGGGAAAAUGACAAAAGGAAAAAAAAGUACAGACACUGUUACUCAGUGAGGCCAGCAAUUGUUGCAAGAGAAGAAAAAUUCUUCAUGGGAAUCCCCUACAUCUGAGAAGCAGAAGCAAAAAUUCACCAGGAAAAAAUUCACUGCCAUCAGCUCUGCCGACAGACAAUGUCUUUUAUCCAUGUGGGAUCCUGCAUUUAUCCAGUUUUUAUUACCCACAGAUGGCAUACCAGCAGUUAAAAAAAAAAAAGAAAAAAAAAA